ACUUAACUUGGAGUCCGAACUCUCACUUUCUAACCCUGUGCAUUUGUUUGGGAUAGUAACUCUCGCAAGAGGGCGAACUCCUAUUCACUUAUAAACACAAAGUCUAUGAAUGUAUUAAAUUUUAUAACAAAAUAAAACUUUCAACAACGGAUCUCUUGGCUCUCGCAUCGAUGAAGAACGCAGCGAAAUGCGAUAAGUAAUGUGAAUUGCAGAAUUCAGUGAAUCAUCGAAUCUUUGAACGCACCUUGCGCUCCAUGGUAUUCCGUGGAGCAUGCCUGUUUGAGUGUCAUGAAUACUUCAACCCUCCUCUUUCUUAAUGAUUGAAGAGGUGUUUGGUUUCUGAGCGCUGCUGGCCUUUAAGGUCUAGCUCGUUCGUAAUGCAUUAGCAUCCGCAAUCGAACUUCGGAUUGACUUGGCGUAAUAGACUAUUCGCUGAGGAAUUCUAGUCUUCGGACUAAAGCCGGGUUGGGUUAAAGGAAGCUUCUAAUCAAAAUGGCCACAUUUUAAGAAUAGAUCUCAAAUCAGGUAGGAAUACCCGCGGAACUUAAGCAUAUCAAUAAGC
This 562-nucleotide ribosomal RNA is filed under the name Rhodotorula mucilaginosa. Its description in RNAcentral is "eukaryotic LSU rRNA". The stretch from base 136 to 289 matches the Rfam family "5.8S ribosomal RNA". The record is from RNAcentral. Lineage: Eukaryota; Fungi; Basidiomycota; Microbotryomycetes; Sporidiobolales; Sporidiobolaceae.